AUGUACGCUGGCGGCGUGCCUAAUACAUGCAAGUCGAGCGAACAGAUGAGGAGCUUGCUCCUCUGACGUUAGCGGCGGACGGGUGAGUAACACGUGGAUAACCUACCUAUAAGACUGGGAUAACUUCGGGAAACCGGAGCUAAUACCGGAUAAUAUAUUGAACCGCAUGGUUCAAUAGUGAAAGACGGUUUUGCUGUCACUUAUAGAUGGAUCCGCGCCGCAUUAGCUAGUUGGUAAGGUAACGGCUUACCAAGGCAACGAUGCGUAGCCGACCUGAGAGGGUGAUCGGCCACACUGGAACUGAGACACGGUCCAGACUCCUACGGGAGGCAGCAGUAGGGAAUCUUCCGCAAUGGGCGAAAGCUUGACGGAGCAACGCCGCGUGAGUGAUGAAGGUCUUCGGAUCGUAAAACUCUGUUAUUAGGGAAGAACAAAUGUGUAAGUAACUAUGCACGUCUUGACGGUACCUAAUCAGAAAGCCACGGCUAACUACGUG
RNAcentral lists this ribosomal RNA (496 nucleotides) under uncultured bacterium. RNAcentral describes it as "partial 16S ribosomal RNA". It matches the Rfam family "Bacterial small subunit ribosomal RNA", at positions 29 to 507 of the family's 1533-position model. The record is from RNAcentral.